This 410-nucleotide ribosomal RNA is filed under the name uncultured bacterium. RNAcentral's name for it is "bacterial SSU rRNA". It matches the Rfam family "Bacterial small subunit ribosomal RNA", at positions 30 to 417 of the family's 1533-position model. The record is from RNAcentral.
AUUGAACGCUGGCGGCGUGCUUAACACAUGCAAGUCGAGCGAAGGUGUUUCAAGGGUAACCUUGAGAUACACUUAGCGGCGGACGGGUGAGUAAUACGUGGAUAACUUACCUCUAGGCCUGGGAUAACCCCGGGAAACUGGGGCUAAUACCUGAUAAGACCACAUUGCCUACGGACAAAGGGGUAAAAGGUGGCUGUGCAAACAGCUAUCGCCAAAAGAUAGGUUCACGUCCCAUCAGGCAGUUGGUGAGGUAAUGGCUCACCAAACCAAAGACGGGUAGCCGGCCUUGGCGGGUGAACGGCCACACGGGGACUGAGACACGGCCCCGACUCCUACGGGAGGCAGCAGUGGGGAAUAUUGGGCAAUGGGCGCAAGCCUGACCCAGCGACGUCGCGUUGGGAAGAAGGCCU